CAGAGGGACCAAAUAACCACACCCAAACUCCUGACCCACAGAAAUUGUAAUAUAACUGUGUGUUGUAUUUUUUUUUUUUUUUUUCCACAAAUAGCACUUUUUAUUUGACACUAAUUGAAGUCUGAACUUUAAACAGAUUCUUGGACUGGUGGUUCAUAUCCAUCAGCUCGUUCAACUUUAGCACCUCUCUCGUCCCCAGUGGCUUUUCCAGAACUACUGCCUUCACCAUGAAGCUCCAUGAGCUUUCCUAAUUCAAACUUGGGCUUCUUCAGCAUUUUUACUUUUCUAACGAAGACAUCAUGGAGAGGAUAAAUAGAUUGGCAAGCCCUUUCUAUGUCUUUUCCAAUGCUGUCUGGAAUCAAUUUAUUGACCACUUCUAUCAAGUCAUUUGUCUGCACCUCUCGGGUCAUGAUUUACAUCAUCUUCUUCCGGAUUUGGCGGACCUGUUGGUGCUGAGCAUAAGAGGUCUUCCAUAUCUGAUUGUUCCAUUUUUUAGUAAAACCAACACAGAACAGACGAAGCAAGCAACCAUCAGUAGUCUUGACAUCAACAUGAGCUUCAAUCAUUAUCUGCCACUUUUUGACCAUGGAACACAUUUUGUCACAGGUAAGAUCCAUGCCAUGGAAGUUAGUCAGGCAGUUUUUGCCCUGAACAUCUUCAGUAAUCAGCUUGAAUUUUCUAAAUGCAACUUCAUCAUUCUGCAAAUCAGCAAGACUCACUUCAAACACACGACCCUUGAGACCAUCAGAUGCAAUUUUGGUUCCUUGGGUCCUGGUGAUGAAUGUCUUUCCAAUAUUUCUUAUAUUGAACACAGCAGGUGCUUUCACAUCAUACCAAUCUUUCUUAGAAAAUGGAUCAACCACUUUCUUCUUGGCUCCCUUUUUGCUGCCUUUCGUAAGGCGCUUGUUCUUGCCAACUGCCAUGGUGCUGAUCAGAGAGCCGAAAGGGCUGUGUUGUGUUUUAAGCUGCUACGUUUGUGGCAACAUUGUUAUGCUGCAGAAGGUAAAUAAUACAGAUUUUGUACUGUAAGUGGAGUGCU
This 1039-nucleotide long non-coding RNA is filed under the name Macaca fascicularis (crab-eating macaque). RNAcentral describes it as "lncRNA (ENSMFAG00000060460.1)". The record is from RNAcentral. Lineage: Eukaryota; Metazoa; Chordata; Mammalia; Primates; Cercopithecidae.